RNAcentral lists this ribosomal RNA (440 nucleotides) under uncultured bacterium. Its description in RNAcentral is "partial 16S ribosomal RNA". It matches the Rfam family "Bacterial small subunit ribosomal RNA", at positions 338 to 795 of the family's 1533-position model. The record is from RNAcentral.
CCUACGGGUGGCAGCAGUAGGGAAUAUUGCUCAAUGGGGGAAACCCUGAAGCAGCAACGCCGCGUGGAGGAUGAAGGUUUUCUGGUUGGUAACUCCUUUUUUUAGAGAAGAUAAUUACGGUAUCUAACGGAUAUGCAGCGUCUCACUCCGUGCCAGCUGCCGCGGUAACACGGAGGGUGCAACAGUUAUUCGGAAUCACUGGGCGUAAUGAGCGCGUAGGGGGGGUAGAAAGUCAGGUGUGAAAUCCUAUGGUUUAACCAUAAAACUGCAGUUGAAACUGUUAUUCUAGAGUGGGGGAGAGGUAGGUGGAAUUCUUGGUGUAGGGGUAAAAUCCGUAGAGAUCAAGAAGAAUACUCAUUGCGAAGGCGACCUGCUAGAACAUGACUGACGCUGAUGCGCGAAAGCGUGGGGAGCGAACAGGAUUAGAUACCCGGGUAGUC